Molecule: long non-coding RNA, 3802 nt
Organism: Amphiprion ocellaris (clown anemonefish)
Lineage: Eukaryota; Metazoa; Chordata; Actinopteri; Pomacentridae
Exons: 4
Source: RefSeq, a predicted model, not a curated record
UUGCGUCACUUCCGCGCGACAGGUAUGUCUGCUCCUGCUGUCUUUCUGGUAAAGCUUCUCUGCUGGUAUGCUUAGGGCAUUUGCUUUGUGCCAUACAGCGACUGGUGUCCCCGUUUGGUGCACGAGUGUGUGUGCGCGUCCCCCGCUCCUGGCUUCAUGUGGCUUCAUGUGUGUGUACCUGCCGCUACUGACAGGCCUGGGUGCUCGUGUGUGCUGCUGAUGUCAGCCGACUGGGACCACUGCUGUUUUGUCUCCUGCCACUUUGUCUCCACUGUCUCCAACCGCUGCUUGGCUUUCUCCAGCGUAGACCUCUGCUCCAGUGUUUGCUGAGGGCUGGUGGUGUUGGUGCUGGUGUCCGGGUGGUGGCGUCCCCCUCCUCCUGUGUGCUGUGGUCCUGAGGAAUUGGUUCACAUCCAGAGUAAUGACUGCUUUCUCCAAAUCAACCUGAAAUACAGCAGAGAUCUGGUGACAGUGGACGUCCGUUUCCUUCCACACUAUUCCUGAGAUGAGUGGCUGGUGUUUGGUGUGUGAGUGAGUUGUGAACAACAUAUUUUAUUUAGCAAGUCAAAAUUAUUCUAAUGAGGUUACAUUGAUUACACAUCCUCACAGAUGAGUUAAUCUGCCACAAGACUCACAAGAAAUAUUGCUGUUUCAUUAAUCAAAACAUUGUGUUCAUCACAUUAAUGCUGCUGCAUAAUUCAAAGCAAGAGUGCACCUUUUUUAAACUGAGAACAGUCACUGGAAGUUUUUUUCUUUCUCUUAACAGUACUUUCAGCUGGGACAGUGUUUCCUACGUUUUAUGGAUAAUUCUCCCUUACACUGAUAUUUAUGUGAAAUUCUUUUAAAUGCCACCAAGGCCAAUAUGUUCUUAAAUGCGUUUUACAAUUAAUGCAAGGGUCAGUAACCAAGCUGUCCUGUUAUAGUACUAAAUCAGUUCACUAAUAUGCUGUCAGUCAUGUAAAGCUCAUUAAAGCUGCAGUGAAACAUUUAGUCUACAUUGUGUAAAUUAAAUCUAGAGCAGACUGAUUAAACUCACACUGUACAUUUCUAAUCAGAAGAUUCCACCAAGUAGCUGCUGCUAACACUGAGACAUCUGACAAUCUUUGAAGCUUUUUUGGAGUAGCUCUCUCAUUAGAAGCCAAGUGUGGUAUUUUCAGGCUCAUUAGGUCUUUGAAAUCUGUGCCGGAAGACCUAAGUUGAGUGGAAAAGUGUGUGUGUGUACGUGUGUGGCGGAAAACAAUUUGUUGAAAUGCAAGCAUCUACAUCUUGUCACAUAAUUUCCUCAAGAUCCUGAAUAUUUUAUUCUCUAAUAUUUAUUUCUGUCGGUGGUGAUAUGUGCAGAUUUUAUUUUUUUUUUCCAGAGUGGAGGCUUAUAAUUGAAAGUGCUUGUGCUCUCUGAUAACAGCAGGCAUCUCUUAUUUCCUCCCAUUGAUCAUGUUGAUUCGAGUUCCUGUUUUGAGAGCUAAUGGUAAGCCAUAUGCAGAGACUGAAGACUUAUGUUGGAAGCUUAACAGCAUCUUUGUGUUAUGAUGGAGCAAAAAGCUACUUCAGGCAGCCAAUCCAUGUGUUCAGCUCUGCCCCUUAUGUAAUUCUUAAAUACAGUGAAUACCAUCCACAUAUAAGAAGACAUUUGUUGUAGUCUGGGUGAAACUCUGCUGCCGUCACUGCUGCUGUUGCUAACCAACCCCACAUCCAGCUGUUGACUUAGUUCCUGCAGACAGUGAUGAGGUCAGAGACGAAAUGUCAGAUAGAAUAUUUAUAUAAUGAUCUUCAUGUAAACCAGUCAGCCAUGACACUAAAACCACUGACAGGUGAAUGAAUCAUCUCAUUACAAUAAAAUACUCUGCUGGGAAACUUUGAAACCCUGGCAUUCAUGUGGUAAUUACCUUCAAGAUUCUAGAUCCAAGAUUCAAAGUUCUUCAUUGUCAUACCAGCACAUGUAUACACAUGAGAAGGCACAAAAUAAGGUACUUGGGUCCUGGUUUUAAGCCACACAAAUAAAUAAAAAAUAUAUAAAUAAAGGGAAUGAAAAGCACAAUUAAAGCAAUAUAAUCAAGUGAUUACAAGUGAUAAACAGAUAAAUAGGCAUGUGUGCAAAUGCAGUUGAUCGGCUGUGUUGUGAACUAGGUCCAUUGGUCUGUAUUGCACAUGUAAAAAUUGUUUGUAGUUGCAUGUAGGUGGAAAAGCUACAGAGCACCUCCAGAGUUCAACAGUCUCCUGGAAAGAAGCUGUUAAUCAGCCUGGUAGUCGUGUCCCGGAUUCUCCACAGCCUCCUAACUGAAGGCAGAGGAGCAAAGAGUGAAUGUGCAGGAUGAGGGGAGUCCUUCAUGAUGCAGACAGCACUCUUUCUGCAUCUACUGUUGUAAAUGGUUGGUAGACUGCUCCCAACAAUCCAGUCUGACUUACCUCGACUUGUACCACACGUCUGAACAUUGUUGCAGACAAAGCACACUCCAGUAGCAAUGUCAGCCCUCUCUAGCAGAACAAUGCUCCCUGACACACUGUAAAAACUGCUUAGGAAGAGCUCAAGGAACAUGACACAGAGCCCAAGGCAUUGACCCAACCUCCAAAGUUCCCAGAUCGCAAUUCAGUCAAGCAUCUCCAAGAUGCAUCAUAAAAAGCCAGAUCGAAGGAGUCCAAACCCUGCAAACAAGAAGACCCAAAGGAUCUGCUGCCAAUAACUCAAAGUCAGACCUCACAGAACACCACAAGAGGUCAACUGUCCGUGUUCCGUCAGGCCAGUUUUGGUGGCAUGAGAAGGACCUUCACAAUAUUAGGCAGGUGGUUGUGUUGGGGCAGAUCAGGGAAAACAUACCGUACAUCAAAUAAAAUAGAAAUGAAUUUUCAAAUGCUUCCAAAUAGUACAUCUACUUCUAAGUUAAGUGACAAGCUCAGAUUCAACCAAACUUGCCUCCAAACAGAAGUUAAAGUCACUACUGAUUGAACCCCAUAGCUAUGGGGUUUCAUUCCACCAAACUCUCUCUGUGGACAGCUGCGGGGUCUGUACUGAAACACUAUUUAAAAAAAAUGCUCACCUUGUGAGCUCGUAAGAUUGGUUUAUUGAAACAUGAAACUUUGGCUAUGUGAAUCUGUUUCAUCAAUACUCUGUAGUUUUAAGGUAGAAAUACUCAGCUUGACUGUCCAUUUCACUCAUACUAUGUUCUCUAGAACAUAGAAAAACACCAUAUGAACAUGUUAGCAGUGUACAAAAAUGCAUUAUAAUAUUUUUGGACCAUUCCAUUCUGAUCUUUUUUAGUGCACCACACAGUUUUAAAACAGCCCAAUUAAAGCAGGUCAAAUAAUGCAUUAAAGGUUAUUGUUGUGAUUUUUCAAAACAGCCACUUACUUUUCCCUUUUUCAUUGCUAAGAUCAUCCACAGGACCUAAGCACUCAAAUCGUAAUCCUCUCAGUGUUGGUAUUGUUUCUCUGGAAUUGAGUUCUUGAAUUCCUCUGUCAACUUCUCAGUUGUAAUAGUUGUUAUGAAUAUUUGAAGAUUUCCGUGGUUUUGGUGCAUAGUUGCGAGUCAGCCGGAACCAGUUGGGUGGUUUCCAGCUAAACUACAAUUUGUGUUCUGGAGUGACAAGUUAGUUCAGUUCAUAAUGGUAAUCACUUUAUUCUUGGUUAGUGUGUAAUCUGCAUUAUACAAUAAUGCAUGUAUGUACAAUAGAUUCACAAUUAUAUAUUAGAAUUAUAUUGUGUAUUAAGUUUCAGCCAUACAAUAUGUAAAGCCAAUGAAUGUGAAACAGCAGUCACAAGUGGCUGAUAUAAAGAAUGUGUUUUGUGCCAGAAAUGCUUGUGUGUG